Molecule: long non-coding RNA, 373 nt
Organism: Octopus sinensis (East Asian common octopus)
Lineage: Eukaryota; Metazoa; Mollusca; Cephalopoda; Octopoda; Octopodidae
Exons: 2
Source: RefSeq, a predicted model, not a curated record
CAUUACGAAAAGUUUCAAUAACCAAAAUGAAAGCAAAACAUUACAGCGACAAAAAUUAUUUUAAUAACUUAAGUCAUGUGAAACAGUUGAAAAACCGUGAAUAACCUUGUAAUUACAUGAAUAUUUUCGAUGAAGAAGGAAGACAGUAAAAUGGGAAAUUAAAAUAAACAUUAAAAAAUACAAAUGAAGGGAAGAGAAUAAUGAUAUACGACUGGUGAAAGAGGAAGCUUUAUUAUGACUGCGCUUACUAAUAGCUAGCAGUGCAUGUUCAUUCACGCCGGUAUCGGAAAUAUUCUUAGUCAUUAAUCAGACAUGUACAUGAUGAAAUUAAUAUUCAUUUGUAGUCAAUUUUCGUGAUUAAAGUACAAGAUUU